UACGGAGGGUGCAAGCGUUAUCCGGAAUCACUGGGUUUAAAGGGUGCGUAGGCGGUUUUAUAAGUCAGCGGUGAAAGGUGUUCGCUCAACGAACGAACUGCCGUUGAUACUGUUUAACUAGAAUUGGGCUGAGGUAACUAGAAUGUAACAUGUAGCGGUGAAAUGCUUAGAUAUGUUAUAGAACACCGAUUGCGAAGGCAGGUUACUGGACCUUGAUUGACGCUGAGGCACGAAAGCGUGGGUAGCGAACAGG
This 253-nucleotide ribosomal RNA is filed under the name uncultured bacterium. Its description in RNAcentral is "partial 16S ribosomal RNA". It matches the Rfam family "Bacterial small subunit ribosomal RNA", at positions 524 to 776 of the family's 1533-position model. The record is from RNAcentral.